Hordeum vulgare subsp. vulgare (domesticated barley) is the source of this 136-nucleotide non-coding RNA. Lineage: Eukaryota; Viridiplantae; Streptophyta; Magnoliopsida; Poales; Poaceae. The record is from Rfam.
CACAUACUCCUUCCGUCCCAAAAUUCUUGUCUUAAAUUUGUCUAAACAUAAAUGUAUCUAGUCAUGUUUUAGUAUUUAGGUACAUUUAUUUUUAGACAAACCUAAGACAAGAAUUUUGAGACGGAGGGAGUAUAAA